This 402-nucleotide ribosomal RNA is filed under the name uncultured bacterium. RNAcentral describes it as "bacterial SSU rRNA". It matches the Rfam family "Bacterial small subunit ribosomal RNA", at positions 975 to 1375 of the family's 1533-position model. The record is from RNAcentral.
CUGGGCUUGACAUGCUGGUGUAAGUCGGUGGAAACAUCGGCCCCUCUUCGGAGCGCCAGCACAGGUGCUGCAUGGCUGUCGUCAGCUCGUGUCGUGAGAUGUUGGGUUAAGUCCCGCAACGAGCGCAACUCUCGCUCCCAGUUGCCAGCGGUUCGGCCGGGGACUCUGGGGGGACUGCCGGCGUUAAGCCGGAGGAAGGUGGGGACGACGUCAAGUCAUCAUGGCCCUUACGUCCAGGGCGACACACGUGCUACAAUGCCUGGUACAGCGCGUCGCGAACUCGCAAGAGGGAGCCAAUCGCCUAAAGCCGGGCUAAGUUCGAAUUGUCGUCUGCAACUCGACGGCAUGAAGCCGGAAUCGCUAGUAAUCGCGGAUCAGCCACGCCGCGGUGAAUACGUUCCC